This 253-nucleotide ribosomal RNA is filed under the name uncultured bacterium. RNAcentral describes it as "partial 16S ribosomal RNA". It matches the Rfam family "Bacterial small subunit ribosomal RNA", at positions 524 to 776 of the family's 1533-position model. The record is from RNAcentral.
UACGUAGGGGGCAAGCGUUGUCCGGAUUUAUUGGGCGUAAAGAGCGUGUAGGCGGCCAAGCAGGUCCGCUGUGAAAACUCGAGGCUCAACCUCGAGACGUCGGUGGAAACCGUUUGGCUAGAGUCCGGAAGAGGAGAGUGGAAUUCCUGGUGUAGCGGUGAAAUGCGCAGAUAUCAGGAAGAACACCCGUGGCGAAGGCGGCUCUCUGGUACGUGACUGACGCUGAGACGCGAAAGCGUGGGGAGCGAACAGG